GGGAAUGUGGCUCAGUGGUAGAGUGCUUGUCUGGCCUACAUGAAGCCCUAGGUUCAAUUCCUAGCACUGCAA
This 72-nucleotide transfer RNA is filed under the name Ictidomys tridecemlineatus (thirteen-lined ground squirrel). RNAcentral's name for it is "Spermophilus tridecemlineatus (thirteen-lined ground squirrel) tRNA". It matches the Rfam family "tRNA". Rfam says of the family: Transfer RNA (tRNA) molecules are approximately 80 nucleotides in length. Lineage: Eukaryota; Metazoa; Chordata; Mammalia; Rodentia; Sciuridae. The record is from Rfam by way of RNAcentral.